AGCGACCAGGAGAAACGGCUAACUCGCCGGGCUCAUAUCCCGGAGAAACUGGGUUCGAUUCCCAGGGUCGCUA
RNAcentral lists this transfer RNA (73 nucleotides) under Rubrobacter sp. RNAcentral describes it as "tRNA-Met". It matches the Rfam family "tRNA". Rfam says of the family: Transfer RNA (tRNA) molecules are approximately 80 nucleotides in length. Their secondary structure includes four short double-helical elements and three loops (D, anti-codon, and T loops). Lineage: Bacteria; Bacillati; Actinomycetota; Rubrobacteria; Rubrobacterales; Rubrobacteraceae. The record is from RNAcentral.